UGAGGCGGGAGAAUUGCUUGAACCCAGGAGGUGGAGGUUGCAGUGAGCUGAGAUCGUGCCACUGUACUCCAGCCUGGGUGACAGAGUGAGACUCCGUCUCA
This 101-nucleotide microRNA precursor is filed under the name Chlorocebus sabaeus (green monkey). RNAcentral's name for it is "miRNA (ENSCSAG00000025419.1)". Lineage: Eukaryota; Metazoa; Chordata; Mammalia; Primates; Cercopithecidae. The record is from RNAcentral.